GCGGAUGUAGUUUAAUGGUAGAACAUGAGCUUCCCAAGCUCAGAGCGCGGGUUCGAUUCCCGUCAUCCGCU
Streptomyces sp. DvalAA-14 is the source of this 71-nucleotide transfer RNA. It matches the Rfam family "tRNA". Rfam says of the family: Transfer RNA (tRNA) molecules are approximately 80 nucleotides in length. Their secondary structure includes four short double-helical elements and three loops (D, anti-codon, and T loops). Further hydrogen bonds mediate the characteristic L-shaped molecular structure. tRNAs have two regions of fundamental functional importance: the anti-codon, which is responsible for specific mRNA codon recognition, and the 3' end, to which the tRNAs corresponding amino acid is attached (by aminoacyl-tRNA synthetases). tRNAs cope with the degeneracy of the genetic code in two manners: having more than one tRNA (with a specific anti-codon) for a particular amino acid; and 'wobble' base-pairing, i.e. permitting non-standard base-pairing at the 3rd anti-codon position. The record is from Rfam. NCBI's taxonomy places the organism in Bacteria, Bacillati, Actinomycetota, Actinomycetes, Kitasatosporales, Streptomycetaceae.